UACAGGGGGUGCAAACGUUGCUCGGAAUUAUUGGGCGUAAAGCGCGCGUAGGCGGCCGCUUAAGUCGGAUGUGAAAGCCCCUGGCUCAACUGGGGAAGUGCACCCGAAACUGAGUGGCUUGAGUACUAAAGAGGGUCGCGGAAUUCCCGGUGUAGAGGUGAAAUUCGUAGAUAUUAGGAAGAACACCAGUGGCGAAGGCGGCUCACUGGUCCGGUACUGACGCUGAGGUGCGAAAGCGUGGGGAGCAAACAGG
This 253-nucleotide ribosomal RNA is filed under the name uncultured bacterium. RNAcentral describes it as "partial 16S ribosomal RNA". It matches the Rfam family "Bacterial small subunit ribosomal RNA", at positions 524 to 776 of the family's 1533-position model. The record is from RNAcentral.